This 253-nucleotide ribosomal RNA is filed under the name uncultured bacterium. RNAcentral's name for it is "partial 16S ribosomal RNA". It matches the Rfam family "Bacterial small subunit ribosomal RNA", at positions 524 to 776 of the family's 1533-position model. The record is from RNAcentral.
UACGAAGGGGGCGAGCGUUGUUCGGAAUUACUGGGCGUAAAGCGCGCGCAGGCGGUUCUUUAAGUCUGAUGUGAAAGCCCACGGCUCAACCGUGGAGGGUCAUUGGAAACUGGAGAACUUGAGUACAGAAGAGGAAAGCGGAAUUCCACGUGUAGCGGUGAAAUGCGUAGAGAUGUGGAGGAACACCAGUGGCGAAGGCGGCCUGCUGGGCAGUGGCUGACACUGAGGCGCGACAGCGUGGGGAGCAAACAGG